UUCUCGACUUAGUGGCGGACGGGUGAGUAACGCGUGAGCAAUCUGCCUUUAAGAGGGGGAUAACAGUCGGAAACGGCUGCUAAUACCGCAUAAAGCAUUGAAUUCGCAUGUUUUCGAUGCCAAAGGAGCAAUCCGCUUUUAGAUGAGCUCGCGUCUGAUUAGCUAGUUGGCGGGGUAACGGCCCACCAAGGCGACGAUCAGUAGCCGGACUGAGAGGUUGAACGGCCACAUUGGGACUGAGACACGGCCCAGACUCCUACGGGAGGCAGCAGUGGGGAAUAUUGCACAAUGGGGGAAACCCUGAUGCAGCGACGCCGCGUGGAGGAAGAAGGUCUUCGGAUUGUAAACUCCUGUUGUUGAGGAAGAUAAUGACGGUACUCAACAAGGAAGUGACGGCUAACUACGUGCCAGCAGCCGCGGUAAAACGUAGGUCACAAGCGUUGUCCGGAAUUACUGGGUGUAAAGGGAGCGCAGGCGGGAAGACAAGUUGGAAGUGAAAUCCAUGGGCUCAACCCAUGAACUGCUUUCAAAACUGUUUUUCUUGAGUAGUGCAGAGGUAGGCGGAAUUCCCGGUGUAGCGGUGGAAUGCGUAGAUAUCGGGAGGAACACCAGUGGCGAAGGCGGCCUACUGGGCACCAACUGACGCUGAGGCUCGAAAGUGCGGGUAGCAAACAGGAUUAGAUACCCUGGUAGUCCACACUGUAAACGAUGAUUAAUAGGUGGUUGGAGGAUUGACCCCUUCAGUGCCGCAGUUAACACAAUAAGUAAUCCACCUGGGGAGUACGUCCGCAAGGUUGAAACUCAAAGGAAUUGACGGGGGCCCGCACAAGCAGUGGAGUAUGUGGUUUAAUUCGACGCAACGCGAAGAACCUUACCAAGUCUUGACAUCCUGCGACGAUGCUGGAAACAGUAUUUUCCUUCGGGACGCAGAGACAGGUGGUGCAUGGUUGUCGUCAGCUUGUGUCGUGAGAUGUUGGGUUAAGUCCCGCAACGAGCGCAACCCUUAUGGUCAGUUACUACGCAAGAGGACUCUGGCCAGACUGCCGUUGACAAAACGGAGGAAGGUGGGGAUGACGUCAAAUCAUCAUGCCCUUUAUGACUUGGGCUACACACGUACUACAAUGGCGUUAAACAAAGAGAAGCAAGACCGCGAGGUGGAGCAAAACUCAGAAACAACGUCCCAGUUCGGACUGCAGGCUGCAACUCGCCUGCACGAAGUCGGAAUUGCUAGUAAUCGCAGAUCAGCAUGCUGCGGUGAAUACGUUCCCGGGCCUUGCACACACCGCCCGUCA
This 1292-nucleotide ribosomal RNA is filed under the name uncultured bacterium. Its description in RNAcentral is "bacterial SSU rRNA". It matches the Rfam family "Bacterial small subunit ribosomal RNA", at positions 84 to 1399 of the family's 1533-position model. The record is from RNAcentral.